AAAAGGUUUAAAGGUUUAAGGUGAGGGUUAGGGGAAGGGUUAGAUAACAUGCUAAGUAGUUGCAAAGUAGCUCAAAUGUACUUAAAUGUACAAAAGUGGCUAAUUAGCGAAAGUUGUCCACAAUGAGAUUUGAACACUCAGCCUUUUGGUUGCUAGAUAUUUGCAUUAUACAUAGUGCACUACUUUUGACCAGUGGCUAUAAAAAGACUAAGGGCCAGGGCUUGGUUUCUUCUAAGCUAACAUAUGGAAUUGUUUUAAGAUGGUCAUACCAAGGAUCAUUUAGCGAUUUGAUUUGGAAUUAUAUGACCCCUGUAGGUACAAUAUUUAAUGAAACAUUGAAUUUGGCCUUAUUCCUAUUAGCCCAUAGAAACGUAUUGAAUAACAUAUUCAUACAUGGCAAAACAGAUAGUCAAAACAUUUAUUGAAAUAAAGUAUAUUUGGGCCUCUCGAGAGGCGCAGAGGUCAAUGGCACUGCAUUGCAGGGCUAGAGGCAUCACUACAGACCCAGGUUCAAUCCCGGGCUGUAUCACAACUGGCUGUGAUCGAGGGUCCCAUAGGGUGGUGCACAAUUGGUCCAGCAUCAUCUGGGUUAGGGGAGGGUUUGGCCGGGGGGGCUUUACUUGGCUCAUCGCGCUCUAAGGACUCCUUGUGGCGGGCCGGGCGCCUGCAGGCUGACCAUGGUCAUCAGGUGAACAGUGUUUCCUGACACAUUGGUGCGGCUGGCGAGCGGGUGUUAAGAAGCGCGGUUUGGCAGGUCGGAGGACGCGUGAUUCGACCUUCACCCCCCCCGAGCCCUUUGGGGAGUUCCAGCGAUGAGACAAGAUUUACAUUUGGGAGAAAAAAGGGGGUAAAAUACAAAAAAAUUAAGUCUAUUUUGCAGUGUCUGUCCUAUAGCUCAGGGUUAUUAUGAUCUGUUUCUAUCCAUUUUUAACCACUUUUUUGGCACUAAAGUACUUCCAUGCUUCCAUAAUUUUUUUUAAACUGGUACUGGGUUACCUUUAGGCAAGUUUUGUGAGGCUUGUGGGCAUCGUAGAGCCCAAACCGUUCAGACACUACAGAUGUUUUCAUGAUGUCUCCUGGUCUGACAAACAUCGCUGUACCUCUGCCACCUUCCACCGCAGAUGGGGAAGGCCGACAUGAACAGAUAUAUCUAGUUUAAAUAGACAGAUUUUGAUUGGGAUUUUUGUUAUUAUGCUAAUUACAUUUCUGCGUGGGCGGUUAAAAACAGGCUUUAAAACAUUGAUAAGAGGGAGGUUGAAGUGUCUGUGUGUGUGCCUGUGUCACCGACUAGCUAUCCCUAGUGAUUAAUCCCAUCAGUGGCCUCCUACCUUUCAGCCCCAUGGUGCAGCAGGUUAGGGUAUGGCUCACCGUGGGAUCAGAUGGAUCAGUGGGUUAAACGCUCAUCUCAGAUUUCUGCUUGGUGCUGGAACAUCAAUAUUGAUGUCCCACAGUGGCACACCUGUCCAUGUCACAGCGCCCCACCUGUCCAUGUCACAGCGCCCCACCGGUCCAUGUCACAGCAUCACACCUGUCCAUGUGGAUGCCUCAAAGGGACAGCCCUGUAGCAUGGUCAGUUUUCACUGCUGUCACAGCCUGACUGCACCCUGCACCUGAUCUGCCAGCCACAGGGUCCAGACCUAACCAGUUACCACAGACCUCCACUAGGCUCUAUGGCCUUUAUAACGGUGAAGGUUUAUCCCUGCCUUUUUAGUUGACAUUGUCCUAAAUCUGAGGAGACAAAACUUCAGAGCAGGGAUUCACUUUUGACAGGUUAAGAUAACUGAGAUAUUACUUUUUUUUUGAGCUACAUGUCCCUACAAAGUAAGAAUAGAGGUUAUCAAUAUUUUUCAGAGUACUUCAAUUGAAAAUUCUCACAAUUAUUGCCAGAUAGAACUAUAUGUUAGAGGUGGUGUGACGAGGUGUAUAGUUUGAGGAGGGUCUGUGUGUUCAAGUUUUGUAACAGAGUCUUUUUUAUUUAAUUGUAUUUAAUUCAAGUCCAUGCUCCCCAAAUGGCACCACACAGCUAAGGAACAGGGACCAGACUUCAGUAUGUCUGAUGAGUAAGCUGCAGCUACAGCAGGCUGUGGUGUUAGUGGGUCAGGUGGUCAGCCUGAGGUGGUCUUAGUGGGUCAGGUGAUCAGCCUGAGGUGGUGUUAGUGGGUCAGGUGAUCAGCCUGAGGUGGUGUUAGUGGGUCAGGUGAUCAGCCUGAGGUGGUGUUAGUGGGUCAGGUGGUCAGCCUAAGGUGGUGUUAGUGGGUCAGGUGGUCAGCCUGAGGUGGUGUUAGUGGGUCAGGUGAUCAGCCUGAGGUGUUGUUAGUGGGUCAGGUGAUCAGCCUGAGGUGGUGUUAGUGGGUCAGGUGGUCAGCCUGAGGUGGUGUUAGUGGGUCAGGUGGUCAGCCUGAGGUGGUGUUAGUGGGUCAGGUGAUCAGCCUGAGGUGGUGUUAGUAGGUCAGGUGGUCAGCCUGAGGUGGUGUUAGUAGGUCAGGUGGUCAGCCUGAGGUGGUGUUAGUGGUUCAGGUGAUCAGCCUGAGGUGGUGUUAGUGGGUCAGGUGAUCAGCCUGAGGUGGUGUUAGUGGGUCAGGUGGUCAGCCUGAGGUGGUGUUAGUGGGUCAGGUGGUCAGCCUGAGGUGGUGUUAGUGGGUCAGGUGAUCAGCUACCUAUCAUUCUUUAUUCAUUAGUCUGGUUCUACCCCAGAACACAGUGUGUCUGAGGUCCCACUUGAGUCCCCCUGCACAUUUGAAGGAUUCCCUUAUCCUACCCUUACCUUUCGGCACACCUCCUCAUAUUAAAUCCUCUGGUGUGGCCUGGGUGGUCUAGGGGUCAGUGCCACCACAUAUAGCAAACAAAGACCAGCAUCAACAUGGGUUCAAAUCCCCCACUUCCUAUGUGACGCACUGUCUCCUCCAUUAAACUCAUACUUUCUAUGACGCACUGUCUCCUCCAUUAAACUCAUACUAUCUAUGUGAUGCGCUGUCUCCUCCAUUAAACUCAUACUUUCUAUGAUGCACUGUCUCCUCCAUUAAACUCAUACUGUCUAUGUGACGCGCUGUCUCCUCCAUUAAAAAAUCAUAUUGUCUAUGUGACGUGCAGUCUCCUCCAUUAAACUCACACUGUCUAUGUGACGCGCUGUCUCCUCCAUUAAACUCAUACUUUCUAUGACGCACUGUCUCCUCCAUUAAAAAAUUCAUACUUCCUAUGUGACGCACUGUCUCCUCCAUUAAACUCAUACUGUCUAUGUGACGCACUGUCUCCUCCAUUAAACCCAUACUGUCUAUGUGACGCACUGUCUCCUCCAUUAAACCCAUACUGUCUAUGUGACGCACUGUCUCCUCCAUUAAAAAAUCAUAUUGUCUAUGUGACUUGCGGUCUCCUCCAUUAAACUCACACUGUCUAUGUGACGCGCUGUCUCCUCCAUUAAACUCAUACUUUCUAUGACGCACUGUCUCCUCCAUUAAACUCAUACUGUCUAUGUGACGUGCGGUCUCCUCCAUUAAAAAACUCAUACUUUCUAAUAACCCCUUUUACUGGUCAGGACGUGACAACUGUCUAUGUGACGUGCGGUCUCCUCCAUUAAAAAAUUGCAUUGUCCCCACAAUAAGUUGGAGAAGUUGAAAUAAAACCAUUUAUUUCAGUGAGGCAAAGGACCACCUGUCAUAGUGGAUUUAUAGUGACUGUAAACAGGCUAAGUUGUAUCAACAGUGUAAUGUAAACUACAGGGUUUUACUGAGUCUAAGGCUCUCAGGACACGGGCUGUUUCAGAAAUGGCAGCCUAUUCCCUAUGUUGUGCACGUAUUUUGACCUGGGCCCUGGUCAACAGUAAUGCACUACAUUGGGAACAGGGUACCAUUUCAGACUCAACCCUGGUUGCUCUGGUUGUUCUCACACACACACACACACACACACACACACACACACACACACACACACACACACACACACACACACACACACACACACACACACACACACUUAAAGUAGCAACCACGUAGUAGACCUUGUCUGGUACCUGCUAGUGGUGAAGGAGAACAGGCUACAGAGGUAGACAGGGAGUUUACCCAGAAGGGCAGAAGGAAGUACCAACAGAAGGAGGUGCCAACAGAAGGAAUUACCAACAGAAGGAAGUACCAACAGAAGGAAGU
RNAcentral lists this long non-coding RNA (4139 nucleotides) under Salmo salar (Atlantic salmon). RNAcentral describes it as "lncRNA (ENSSSAG00000097840.1, ENSSSAG00000102005.1)". Lineage: Eukaryota; Metazoa; Chordata; Actinopteri; Salmoniformes; Salmonidae. The record is from RNAcentral.